GGGCACGUCUGCCUGGGUGUCAC
RNAcentral lists this non-coding RNA (23 nucleotides) under Arabidopsis thaliana (thale cress). Lineage: Eukaryota; Viridiplantae; Streptophyta; Magnoliopsida; Brassicales; Brassicaceae. The record is from RNAcentral.